This 441-nucleotide ribosomal RNA is filed under the name uncultured bacterium. Its description in RNAcentral is "bacterial SSU rRNA". It matches the Rfam family "Bacterial small subunit ribosomal RNA", at positions 771 to 1216 of the family's 1533-position model. The record is from RNAcentral.
AACAGGAUUAGAUACCCGGGUAGUCCACGCUGUAAACGAUGAUCACUCGUUGUUGGCGAUAAACUGUCAGCGACUGAGCGAAAGCAAUAAGUGAUCCACCUGGGGAGUACGGCGGCAACGCUGAAACUCAAAGGAAUUGACGGGGGCCCGCACAAGCGGAGGAACAUGUGGUUUAAUUCGAUGAUACGCGAGGAACCUUACCUGGGCUUGAAAGGGGAAUGACCUCCCGGGAAACUGGGACUCUCUUCGGAGCAUUCUCCUAGGUGCUGCAUGGUUGUCGUCAGCUCGUGCCGUGAGGUGUCGGGUUAAGUCCCAUAACGAGCGCAACCCCUAUUGUUAGUUGCCAGCGGGUAAUGCCGGGAACUCUAACGAAACUGCCGGUGUAAACCGAGAGGAAGGUGGGGAUGACGUCAAAUCAGCACGCCCUUAUGUCCAGGGCUA